UUAACUUGGAGUCCGAACUCUCACUUUCUAACCCUGUGCAUUUGUUUGGGAUAGUAACUCUCGCAAGAGGGCGAACUCCUAUUCACUUAUAAACACAAAGUCUAUGAAUGUAUUAAAUUUUAUAACAAAAUAAAACUUUCAACAACGGAUCUCUUGGCUCUCGCAUCGAUGAAGAACGCAGCGAAAUGCGAUAAGUAAUGUGAAUUGCAGAAUUCAGUGAAUCAUCGAAUCUUUGAACGCACCUUGCGCUCCAUGGUAUUCCGUGGAGCAUGCCUGUUUGAGUGUCAUGAAUACUUCAACCCUCCUCUUUCUUAAUGAUUGAAGAGGUGUUUGGUUUCUGAGCGCUGCUGGCCUUUAGGGUCUAGCUCGUUCGUAAUGCAUUAGCAUCCGCAAUCGAACUUCGGAUUGACUUGGCGUAAUAGACUAUUCGCUGAGGAAUUCUAGUCUUCGGACUAGAGCCGGGUUGGGUUAAAGGAAGCUUCUAAUCAGAAUGUCUACAUUUUAAGAUUAGAUCUCAAAUCAGGUAGGACUACCCGCUGAACUUAAGCAUAUCAAUAAG
RNAcentral lists this ribosomal RNA (559 nucleotides) under Rhodotorula mucilaginosa. Its description in RNAcentral is "eukaryotic LSU rRNA". The stretch from base 134 to 287 matches the Rfam family "5.8S ribosomal RNA". The record is from RNAcentral. Lineage: Eukaryota; Fungi; Basidiomycota; Microbotryomycetes; Sporidiobolales; Sporidiobolaceae.